CAUGCACUGUACAUGAAAGCGCAAGGGUAAUCCAAAGUUUGUCUAAUGUCACUGUACAGCAGAGAUAGAGUGUAGCAGUGAGGUGAUGUUUGGCCUGAAAUCGAGUUUAAUUGUUGAUUUUAAGGCAAUUUUAUCUCUUUGAUAAGCUGCAGAUAUGGUUUUUAUCGCUCAUCACCUGCAGUAGUGAAAUUAGAGGCACAUGUACCACGAUUACAGCAGGUGCAUGAUGGCCUAAUGGUUUUGAAGGUAAGAUUUAGCAUUCUGCACCAAAUUGAACUCUUCCACAAAAUAUAAAGUUCCUGGCAUUUUCUGGACUGGUGAAGUUGAUCGUAUCUGUUGAAUGUCCCGGACAUUAUUUUAAAGAAAAACAGGAACUCAAAGUUAGGAAUACAAGAUUUGCAGUUCGAAUAAAGGAGGGCGCUGUUGUCGACUGAUAAAAGGCUUUCCUGAUAAAAGUCAUACUCGGUCAACGUGCGCCCACAUCCACCUCCAACCAUACCGAGCGUAGAAAAUAAUAGAAAAAAGAUGGAUCCAAGAGGAACUCCGCCAAACAAUGGGGAUGCUGCUCUCAAUCAAGACGAACAUGGAAGUCUAGAAGCCCCAGUGCAUGAUCCAAGAGAAACUCCGCCAAAAAAUGGGGAUGCUGCUCUCAAUCAAGACGAACAUGGACGUUUAGAAGCCCCAGUGCAUGAUCCAAGAGAAACUCCAAACAAUGAGGACGCUGCUGCUGAAGAAAAAGACAAAUUAAAGUCUUUGUGGCCAUUUUGGAAACGUUCAAAACCUGAUCCAAGAGAAACUCCAAACAAUGAGGACGCUGCUGCUGAAGAAGAAGGCAAAUUAAAGUCUUUGUGGCUAUUUGGGAAACGUUCAAAACCUGACCCAAAAUAUCUAUGCAUGAAUAGGCAUAAGCAUGAAAGAUAUCAAGAAGUUGUACAAUGUGAUUUAGACAAUCGGAAGGAAUGUAAAAUGGGACACGUACACCCAAACCAGGAAGAGGUCGUAGCAUGUGAAGAAAUUAUUGGAAGAGCUACCUUGGUGUCCGGGGUACAUGGAAUAUAUGCUGUUAAUCUGCUUUGGCCUGGUAGUUGUGAGAGGACUUUGAAUCAUCCGCCGUGCGCUAUUGUUGAUAUUACAGAAGAAGUAAAUUCAACGAGCCAAGUGUGAAGGCAUCCGACUGAUCAUACCUGAUCAUACUGUUCAAGCGGAAUAAAAUAAACACGAAAACUCGGAGUGAAUCUUCCGUGUGUAUCAAUGGCCACACUCACAAGAGUGCAGCUGAGGCUUUAGAAUGUGACAAAAGGUCUUCAUCGAAAUGC
This 1316-nucleotide unclassified non-coding RNA is filed under the name Lingula anatina. RNAcentral's name for it is "uncharacterized LOC106178739, transcript variant X1". Lineage: Eukaryota; Metazoa; Brachiopoda; Lingulata; Lingulida; Lingulidae. The record is from RNAcentral.